Molecule: transfer RNA, 94 nt
Filed under: Paracoccaceae bacterium
Lineage: Bacteria; Pseudomonadati; Pseudomonadota; Alphaproteobacteria; Rhodobacterales; Paracoccaceae
Description: Rhodobacteraceae bacterium (wastewater metagenome) tRNA-Sec
Rfam family: Selenocysteine transfer RNA
Source: RNAcentral
GGAAGGGAAGCGUCCCCGGUGGGGCGGCCGGACUUCAACUCCGGUCGGGGCAGUCAGCCUGUCCCGGGUGGGUUCGACUCCCAUUCCCUUUCGC